UGUGUGUGUGUGUGUGUGUGUGUGUGUGUGUGUGUACCCGCACAGCCUCCACCCGCCUGCGUCGAGGGUGCAUGCUGGAUGAGGCCCCUUGGGGCGCGGGGAGAUGCGCGGUCCCUGGCAGGAUGUAGCUGGCACAGGUAGAGUGUGCGAAUGUGUGUGCCAACAUGUGUUCCUGCAUGUACAGUUUGCAUUGCGGUGUAGGCAAGGACUGCCUGUACGCGUGUCGCUUGCGCUGCAUGUAUGUGCACAAAGUGUGUGUACUUUGUGCUGUGCAUGUGUAAGGCGGGGGGUAGUUUGCAUCGUGUGGGUGUAGUGUGGUGUAGCGUGCACUGUGCAUGUGUAAAUGGGACGUAGCUUGCCUUGUCUGUGUGUGAAUGGGGGGUAGUUUGCACCGCAUGUGAGUGGGGUGUAGUCUGCACUGUGCAUGUGCCACUGGGGACAGCGUGUGUGUAGUCAGCCCUGUGCGCGUGUCAGUUGGGGCAGGGCAUGUGCAUCAUCUCGGUGGUGAAUGUGUAGACAGGGACAGCCUAUGCGCCUGUACGACUUACAACGGCUGCGGAGGGGGACGGUGCGGGUGCGUGACACACGGACGUCUGCAGUGUGCCUGGCUUCCCCAGGCCCGUGGCGACGAGUGUGUGGAUGGCACGGGGUGUGUGUGCAGCUCUGUUGCAGGGCACAGCGGAGUGGAACAUCCUUGCCAUCUGCCAGCAUGGAGGGAAAGGGACGGAGCCUGCCCCACGAUGCGAUGCUGCUGCUGCUGCUGGGGCUGGUGCUGAGCGUGGAGCCCGGCCAGGCGGCCGUGCACGUUAACCUCACCGAAGG
Molecule: non-coding RNA, 822 nt
Organism: Struthio camelus australis
Lineage: Eukaryota; Metazoa; Chordata; Aves; Struthioniformes; Struthionidae
Source: RefSeq, a predicted model, not a curated record